This 253-nucleotide ribosomal RNA is filed under the name uncultured bacterium. RNAcentral describes it as "partial 16S ribosomal RNA". It matches the Rfam family "Bacterial small subunit ribosomal RNA", at positions 524 to 776 of the family's 1533-position model. The record is from RNAcentral.
UACGAACCGUACGAACGUUAUUCGGAAUUACUGGGCUUAAAGGGUGCGUAGGCGGCGCAGUAAGUUGGGUGUGAAAUCCCUCGGCUUAACCGAGGAAUUGCGCCCAAAACUACUGUGCUCGAGGGAGAUAGAGGUGAGCGGAACUUAGGGUGGAGCGGUGAAAUGCGUUGAUAUCCUAAGGAACACCGGUGGCGAAAGCGGCUCACUGGAUCUCUUCUGACGCUGAGGCACGAAAGCUAGGGUAGCAAACGGG